GGCAGUGUGGCCUUAUGGCUAGAGCGCGGGCCUGGGAGUCAGAAGGACCUGGGUUCUAGUCCCGGCUCUGCCA
This is a non-coding RNA of Ornithorhynchus anatinus (platypus), 73 nucleotides long. NCBI's taxonomy places the organism in Eukaryota, Metazoa, Chordata, Mammalia, Monotremata, Ornithorhynchidae. The record is from Rfam.